Molecule: long non-coding RNA, 1342 nt
Organism: Mus musculus (house mouse)
Lineage: Eukaryota; Metazoa; Chordata; Mammalia; Rodentia; Muridae
Product: predicted gene, 33025
Exons: 3
Source: RefSeq, a predicted model, not a curated record
CUCCUGGCUGAAGAUGAAGGCCCAAAUCAGGGCCUGUCCCAGAAGAUGUGUUUGUUGCCUCUGUGGUCUGCACGCUCACCUGCACAGACUGGUCUCUGAGGGACCUGGGACCCAAGAUGACUCCCUCACCUGUUUAGGCAGUCAGAGCCCUUUCCUCUGUUGGGGAAGGUGCCUGGAUGUCUGGAGCCCGAAAAGGGUUCUGUUCCAGAUGCUGUGUCGAUUCUGCAGUCCGCACUCUCACCUGUGCAGAUUGGUCUCUGAGGGACCCAGGGUCCAAGAUGGCUCCCUUACCUGUUCAAGCAGUCAGCCACAUUAGUGUUCUUAAUAGACUAAAGUGUGUAUUCAGUAUUUGUCAGGGAAAAAACAGUUGUCUCUCUGCAGACAACCACUUCUGUAGUAGACCUAUUCAUCUGUGUCUGCACAUAUACUACGCAUCUUCUGUUAUGUUGCCCAAGUGAAGGAGGAUGCUAGAGAGGUCCUUGAGUUCAGUUGCCCGCAACCACAUGGUGGCUGACAAUCUUCUGUAAUGGAAUCCGAUGCCCUCUUCCAGUGUGUCUGAAGAUAGCUACAGUAUACUCAUAUACAUAUAUAAUGAAUAAAUCUUUAGCAGGUAGUCAAUAUGAGUAAUUGUUCAUUAAUGAAAAGGUCUGUCUAUAUGCAUAUAUUCCUGAAUAUGUAAAUAUUUUCCAAGACUCCUAAUAUAGGUGUCUCUUUCUAAGUAUCUCUUGUAUUUUUAACCAAUCACAGGUGGGUGUGUGAAGACCAUUGCAUGAAGAACUAUAAAUUUGUAAUAUGAAUAGGAGUUAAAACAUAUUCGUCAGGAGAGACAUCCAUACUAAGUGCCAAAUGAGUUAAAACUUAGGAGGGUUUUAUGUAAAAAUGAAUUUACUGAAUACAGAUGAAAUUUCCCAUGACAUAUGGAAUUUUAUUUGGUAGAUGAAAACUGUGCUCAGGGAAGGCCACUGGCUUUCUGUCAGAUACCAGCAAAGAAGGGCUGAGACAUGGCUGCCUAACCUCGCAGGACAGCAAGCAUGAAGCAAGCUUCAACAAGGGUAUUCUGAGAUUUGGAACUGAGUAUGUGGGAUGAAUUGACCAGAAGGAGAAAAGAUGAGAUUGGUUUGUCAACUGAAGUGGGAAUAAGAUAAAGUCUCUCCUUUUCUCAAUGUGGACCCAGAGUCUCACUCAGGUUUUCCAGAAUGGAGCACCUCCACGCUACCUCAUGAGCUAUUAUCCGUAUUUGCUUUCAGUUGAUGUUUGCUUCUACUUACAAAAACACAGCCUGGAAGAUGUGAACAAGGGAGUUAUUCUUUGCAUCCUUUAAUGAAAGAAGUAACAAUAUUGA